CCUACGGGAGGCAGCAGUGGGGAAUAUUGGACAAUGGGCGAAAGCCUGAUCCAGCCAUGCCGCGUGUGUGAAGAAGGCCUUCGGGUUGGAAAGCACUUUCAGUGGGGAAGAAAGCCUUGGGGCUAAUACCCUCGAGGAAGGACAUCACCAACAGAAGAAGCACCGGCUAACUCCGUGCCAGCAGCCGCGGUAAUACGGAGGGUGCGAGCGUUAAUCGGAAUUACUGGGCGUAAAGCGCGCGUAGGCGGUCUGAUAAGCCGGUUGUGAAAGCCCCGGGCUCAACCUGGGAACGGCAUCCGGAACUGUCAGGCUAGAGUGCAGGAGAGGAAGGUAGAAUUCCCGGUGUAGCGGUGAAAUGCGUAGAGAUCGGGAGGAAUACCAGUGGCGAAGGCGGCCUUCUGGACUGACACUGACGCUGAGGUGCGAAAGCGUGGGUAGCAAACAGGAUUAGAUACCCCAGUAGUC
This 465-nucleotide ribosomal RNA is filed under the name Vreelandella stevensii. Its description in RNAcentral is "partial 16S ribosomal RNA". It matches the Rfam family "Bacterial small subunit ribosomal RNA", at positions 338 to 795 of the family's 1533-position model. Lineage: Bacteria; Pseudomonadati; Pseudomonadota; Gammaproteobacteria; Oceanospirillales; Halomonadaceae. The record is from RNAcentral.